AUGUAUUCUACACCCCCUCCAAAAAAGAUAGCUUUUGUUUUUAUUAAUUUAUUUUUUCUCUUUAUUAACUUAUUUAUUAUGUGUUUUCUUCUAUUUCCUUUGGGCUUGUUUUUUUUAUUUUUUAAAAUUUGUUUAUGUUAAAAUAUAAUUUGUUUUAAAUCAAAUCUUUUGACUAUAAUAAGAGCAGCCAAAUCAUAAAUCUACUCAGUUUCCUUUUCCAAAUACUUUGUCUAUUACUAAAACAAGAGCAUAUCAUUACGAUAAAUUACAAUAGAUGAUACAGUAAAAUUAUGCCAUUAAUACUGGUCGAAAAUUGUUUCUUUUUAAAAUACUAUUAAUAUACUUAUAUAAAUACUAACCCUUUUGAUAGAUAAAUUAAAUACACAUUAUAAAACCUCAGUCCACUAUUUCAAACUAAAUAACUUAGUUCCUUAGUGUUUCUUUUAAAAUCUGCUUAUUACAACAUUAGCAGCCUUUUUAAUUUGGUUUACCUCCUACGUAACAGUUAAUCAAUGUGUAAAACCUAGGUUAAAAUAAACAACCCAGAGCACAUUUAUGCA
This 560-nucleotide long non-coding RNA is filed under the name Sus scrofa (pig). Its description in RNAcentral is "lncRNA (ENSSSCG00050066065.1)". Lineage: Eukaryota; Metazoa; Chordata; Mammalia; Artiodactyla; Suidae. The record is from RNAcentral.